RNAcentral lists this ribosomal RNA (1483 nucleotides) under Lacticaseibacillus casei. RNAcentral describes it as "bacterial SSU rRNA". It matches the Rfam family "Bacterial small subunit ribosomal RNA". The record is from RNAcentral. Lineage: Bacteria; Bacillati; Bacillota; Bacilli; Lactobacillales; Lactobacillaceae.
UGGCGGCGUGCCUAAUACAUGCAAGUCGAACGAGUUCUCGUUGAUGAUCGGUGCUUGCACCGAGAUUCAACAUGGAACGAGUGGCGGACGGGUGAGUAACACGUGGGUAACCUGCCCUUAAGUGGGGGAUAACAUUUGGAAACAGAUGCUAAUACCGCAUAGAUCCAAGAACCGCAUGGUUCUUGGCUGAAAGAUGGCGUAAGCUAUCGCUUUUGGAUGGACCCGCGGCGUAUUAGCUAGUUGGUGAGGUAAUGGCUCACCAAGGCGAUGAUACGUAGCCGAACUGAGAGGUUGAUCGGCCACAUUGGGACUGAGACACGGCCCAAACUCCUACGGGAGGCAGCAGUAGGGAAUCUUCCACAAUGGACGCAAGUCUGAUGGAGCAACGCCGCGUGAGUGAAGAAGGCUUUCGGGUCGUAAAACUCUGUUGUUGGAGAAGAAUGGUCGGCAGAGUAACUGUUGUCGGCGUGACGGUAUCCAACCAGAAAGCCACGGCUAACUACGUGCCAGCAGCCGCGGUAAUACGUAGGUGGCAAGCGUUAUCCGGAUUUAUUGGGCGUAAAGCGAGCGCAGGCGGUUUUUUAAGUCUGAUGUGAAAGCCCUCGGCUUAACCGAGGAAGCGCAUCGGAAACUGGGAAACUUGAGUGCAGAAGAGGACAGUGGAACUCCAUGUGUAGCGGUGAAAUGCGUAGAUAUAUGGAAGAACACCAGUGGCGAAGGCGGCUGUCUGGUCUGUAACUGACGCUGAGGCUCGAAAGCAUGGGUAGCGAACAGGAUUAGAUACCCUGGUAGUCCAUGCCGUAAACGAUGAAUGCUAGGUGUUGGAGGGUUUCCGCCCUUCAGUGCCGCAGCUAACGCAUUAAGCAUUCCGCCUGGGGAGUACGACCGCAAGGUUGAAACUCAAAGGAAUUGACGGGGGCCCGCACAAGCGGUGGAGCAUGUGGUUUAAUUCGAAGCAACGCGAAGAACCUUACCAGGUCUUGACAUCUUUUGAUCACCUGAGAGAUCAGGUUUCCCCUUCGGGGGCAAAAUGACAGGUGGUGCAUGGUUGUCGUCAGCUCGUGUCGUGAGAUGUUGGGUUAAGUCCCGCAACGAGCGCAACCCUUAUGACUAGUUGCCAGCAUUUAGUUGGGCACUCUAGUAAGACUGCCGGUGACAAACCGGAGGAAGGUGGGGAUGACGUCAAAUCAUCAUGCCCCUUAUGACCUGGGCUACACACGUGCUACAAUGGAUGGUACAACGAGUUGCGAGACCGCGAGGUCAAGCUAAUCUCUUAAAGCCAUUCUCAGUUCGGACUGUAGGCUGCAACUCGCCUACACGAAGUCGGAAUCGCUAGUAAUCGCGGAUCAGCACGCCGCGGUGAAUACGUUCCCGGGCCUUGUACACACCGCCCGUCACACCAUGAGAGUUUGUAACACCCGAAGCCGGUGGCGUAACCCUUUUAGGGAGCGAGCCGUCUAAGGUGGGACAAAUGAUUAGGGUG